RNAcentral lists this microRNA precursor (111 nucleotides) under Sorghum bicolor (sorghum). Its description in RNAcentral is "MIR5565 microRNA precursor family". It matches the Rfam family "MIR5565 microRNA precursor family". Lineage: Eukaryota; Viridiplantae; Streptophyta; Magnoliopsida; Poales; Poaceae. The record is from Rfam by way of RNAcentral.
AUAGUCGGAUUCAUAUCAAUCCAUAUGUGUUGGAGUGGAUUAGAGUGAAAUUUGAACUAAAUUCCACACAUCAAUACACUUCGACACAUGUGGAUUAAGGUAAAUAUGAUA